AUGGCUGCAAUCCACUCCCAGUUAAGCGGGGUCCGGUCAGGCCACCUUCAGCUCCAAAAUGCCCUGGGGGAUGUGAUGGACAUCCAGAACUUUCUUUCUGGUAGAAGUCAGCAAUGACUGGAGGCAAAACAUUAACACCAUUGAGAACCUGAAGUAUGUAAAAUAUGCUGGGACGCAACAUCAGCGGUGGCUCCUCAGAGGAGGAAAGUGAGGACCAUUCUCCUCAGUGAAUAUAUGUAUGCUAAAUAUAUUCACAUCACUAAAUAAUGAAUUAAAACACACUGUUUUGCAAUGAAGGUCUACAGUAGCCUCAACAGCACUCUCUGGGGUAGCACAAUGGUGUAGCUGGAGAACAGAUAGUUUCCGUCCUCCUCUGUGUACAUUAACUUCAUUACAAAACCUAAGAGGCUCAUGGUUGUCACCCCCUUCCAUAGACUUAGAGUAAUUAUGACUGUAUUAGAGGGUGAUGCCUCUGGAAUUUAUGCACUGAUUGAGUAGGUGAAGUUAUGGAGAUUGUGCUCUUAUUAGAGAAAUGGUGAGAGAGACAGUUCCUCAGUUUAGGGUUAUUUAAUGUUGAUUGGAGAUUAACAAUGUUUGCAAUUCUGUGCCAUGUCACUCAGCUGUGAUUAUCCAAUGAAC
RNAcentral lists this long non-coding RNA (639 nucleotides) under Oncorhynchus mykiss (rainbow trout). RNAcentral describes it as "lncRNA (ENSOMYG00000052043.1)". The record is from RNAcentral. Lineage: Eukaryota; Metazoa; Chordata; Actinopteri; Salmoniformes; Salmonidae.